RNAcentral lists this ribosomal RNA (462 nucleotides) under uncultured bacterium. Its description in RNAcentral is "partial 16S ribosomal RNA". It matches the Rfam family "Bacterial small subunit ribosomal RNA", at positions 30 to 507 of the family's 1533-position model. The record is from RNAcentral.
UGAACGCUGGCGGCGUGCUUAACACAUGCAAGUCGAACGAUGAAGCCCAGCUUGCUGGGUGGAUAGUGGCGACCGGGUGAGUAACACGUGAGUAACCUGCCCUUAACUCUGGGAUAAGCCUGGGAAACUGGGUCUAAUACCGGAUAGGAGCGUCCACCGCAUGGUGGGUGUUGGAAAGAUUUAUCGGUUUUGGAUGGACUCGCGGCCUAUCAGCUGUUGGUGAGGUAAUGGCUCACCAAGGCGACGACGGGUAGCCGGCCUGAGAGGGUGACCGGCCACACUGGGACUGAGACACGGCCCAGACUCCUACGGGAGGCAGCAGUGGGGAAUAUUGCACAAUGGGCGCAAGCCUGAUGCAGCGACGCCGCGUGAGGGAUGACGGCCUUCGGGUUGUAAACCUCUUUCAGUAGGGAAGAAGCGAAAGUGACGGUACCUGCAGAAGAAGCACCGGCUAACUACGUG